RNA transcript from Myotis lucifugus (little brown bat), 574 nucleotides. It is a transcript of the gene named serine/arginine-rich splicing factor 3 pseudogene, with no coding region annotated. The record is from RefSeq and is a predicted model, not a curated record. Lineage: Eukaryota; Metazoa; Chordata; Mammalia; Chiroptera; Vespertilionidae. The transcript has a single exon.
AGGGGAGCCGGAGAGUCGUCCGAGGCUGUGUGGACUUCAGCCGCUGAGUUUCUCACUCCAGAUCUCGAAAUGCAUCGCCAUUCCUGUCCAUUGGAUUGUAAGGUUUAUGUGGGAAAUCUUGGAGACAACGGUGACGAGACAGAAUUGGAAUGGGCUUUUGGCUAUUAUGGGCCACUCAGAAGUGUGUGGGUUGCUAGAAAGCCUCCCGGCUUUGCUUUCGUGGAGUUUGAAGAUCCCCGAGAUGCAGCCGAUGCUGUCCGAGAGCUCGAUGGGAGAACCCUGUGUGGCUGCCGAGUAAGAGUGGAACUGUCCAAUGGUGAAAAGAGAAGUCGAAAUCGAGGCCCGCCUCCCUCUUGGGAUCGUCACCCUCGAGAUGAUUAUCGUCGAAGGAGUCCUCCACCUCGCCGCAGAUCUCCAAGACGCAGAAGCUUCUCCCGUAGCCGGAGCAGGUCCCUUUCCAGAGAUAGGAGAAGACAGAGAUCACUGUCCUGGGAGAGAAAUCAUAAGCAGUCUCGAUACUUCUCUAGGUCUCGGAGCCGAUCUAGGUCAAAUGAAAGGAAAUAGAAGACCAGUU